AGAGCGAACGCUGGCGGCAGGCCUAACACAUGCAAGUCGAGCGCGUGUAGCAAUACACGAGCGGCAGACGGGAGAGUAACACGUGGGAACGCGCCCUUCGGUUCGGAAUAACUCAGGGAAACUUGAGCUAAUACCGGAUACGCCCUUACGGGGAAAGAUUUAUUGCCGAAGGAACGGCCCGCGUCCGAUUAGCUAGUUGGUGAGGUAACGGCUCACCAAGGCGACGAUCGGUAGCUGGUCUGAGAGGAUGACCAGCCUCACUGGGACUGAGACACGGCCCAGACUCCUACGGGAGGCAGCAGUGGGGAAUAUUGGACAAUGGGCGCAAGCCUGAUCCAGCCAUGCCGCGUGGAUGAUGAAGGCCUUAGGGUUGUAAAGUCCGUUUUAACGGGGAAGUAUAAUGACGGUACCGUAGAAUAAGCCCGGCUAACUUCGCGCCAGCAGCCGC
Molecule: ribosomal RNA, 448 nt
Filed under: uncultured bacterium
Lineage: Bacteria
Description: SSU rRNA
Rfam family: Bacterial small subunit ribosomal RNA
Source: RNAcentral